Molecule: ribosomal RNA, 465 nt
Filed under: uncultured bacterium
Lineage: Bacteria
Description: partial 16S ribosomal RNA
Rfam family: Bacterial small subunit ribosomal RNA
Source: RNAcentral
GACGAACGCUGGCGGCGUGCUUAACACAUGCAAGUCGAACGGAAAGGCCCCUUUGGGGGUACUCGAGUGGCGCACGGGUGAGUAACACGUGAGUAACCUGCCCUUGACUUCGGGAUAACUUCAGGAAACUGGGGCUAAUACCGGAUAGGAAUCCUUGCUGCAUGGUGGGGGUUGGAAAGCUUCGGCGGUUUUGGAUGGACUCGCGGCUUAUCAGCUUGUUGGUGGGGUAGUGGCUUACCAAGGCUUUGACGGGUAGCCGGCCUGAGAGGGCGACCGGCCACAUUGGGACUGGGAUACGGCCCAGACUCCUACGGGAGGCAGCAGUGGGGAAUAUUGCACAAUGGGCGGAAGCCUGAUGCAGCAACGCCGCGUGCGGGAUGACGGCCUUCGGGUUGGAAACCGCUUUCAGCAGGGGCGAAGCUUGUGGUGACGGUACCUGCAGAAGAAGCACCGGCUAACUACGUG